Molecule: long non-coding RNA, 765 nt
Filed under: Gossypium barbadense (sea-island cotton)
Lineage: Eukaryota; Viridiplantae; Streptophyta; Magnoliopsida; Malvales; Malvaceae
Description: long non-coding RNA (GBAR_LNC021156)
Source: RNAcentral
UUUAUUAUAUUAUUCAUUGUACAGACCCAUUUUGCCCGGGCCCAAAAAAAUACAAACUCAAACUAUUAACAGGCCCAAAUAAAAAAAAAAUCUAGCCCAAACUCAAAAACAAGAAGAAACAAAGAAACCCUAGCCCCUAACCCUAGCUUCAGCCGCCGCAGCCACCGACCCCAACUGCCACCACCUACUCCGCCGCUCCUCUGUCCACUUGCGCCUGCAACGAAAUGACAGGCAAAAGAUAAGAUAAAAAAAAUCAUGUAAAAACGGCUAUAAAGUCGAGAAUCGAACGCUUGUAAGGGGCUCCCCCAUUUUUUUUUUCACAAAACAUUGAAGAAAUAAAAGAAAACAGUUUAAAAAGGUGACUUUUUUUUACAUUUUUCGAUUUUGUUUUUUUCCGGUUUGUUUCUUUUUUUAUUUUCUUUCACAUACGAAAUAAAUAAAAAUAACAAAAAGAAAAGAAAAAACCUACCUGUUUCGUUCUUCGUCGUCGGGAUUCGGAGGGUCCCUCCUCCUUUCGGUCAUUUUUGGCCACUUUUUCUAAAAAAACAACCCCAGAUUCGGAAUCAGGGGGUUGAGAGGGUUAAAGGGGCCUUUUUUAAAUUUUCCCCUUUUUAAUUUUUCCGGCCACCGCGGACGGCGGCGCCGUCGCCAGUGACUGGCGGCCGACACGGCGGCCGAUGGCCGGAGCUCUUGCCGGAGGCUAACCGGUUUCUGGGGAAGAAAGGGGGGAUUUGAGAGUGUUUGGAAGGUUUUUUUUUUUUUUUG